Molecule: long non-coding RNA, 1847 nt
Organism: Oncorhynchus tshawytscha (Chinook salmon)
Lineage: Eukaryota; Metazoa; Chordata; Actinopteri; Salmoniformes; Salmonidae
Source: Ensembl
GGAAAGUGGGAGCGAUGGGACUGGAUGCCUGAAUUUACAGCUCUUUUAAAUUGACUUUUAAGGCUGGUGUCAUCAUUCUGAUUGACAGGGUCAUAUGAUACUUUAGCACCACGGGCUGUAUAAAACACUAAGCAUGCACGCUGUUUAAGAGAAGAAAAAGCGCAGUCACCCAUUGGGCCACAUGAAAGACCCUCUGCUGUUUUAGGGGCACGUUUUCCAAUGGUAAUCAAGUCACACACUCGUGGUGGCCUAACUUGCUUAACCCAAUUCGUAACAUUUGGAGGACAACCAACUCUUGUUCCAUAUGGAUUUAUCUCCUCCACAAUGCUGGAACAGAUAUCAUCAAAACUAUUUUCUACAGAUUCUUUCCCAAAGGGAGUUUUCCUUGUGGUUGUUGGGUAUUGUACUUAAAAUGGUUCGAAGGCUAGUUUUGGAAAAUGUGAUGUGCUCUUGUGCCUAUUUGUAGGCCUGUUAUAAAUAGGUUUGGCAGGGUACACAUGCUCAUGUUUGAUUGGAAAUUGCACAGUGCCUUGAGCCGGAGAGAGUGGUGGGUCCUUAUACAAAGAGACAAAAGGAAAGCUAUGAAUGCUGCUAUCUCCCAGAUUUAGAGCCACAGAAGAAAACCUCAUUUAUUUUGGUGGAUGUACAUCAUCAUCUGUUGCCUUCUCUGAGGAAGUUUCUCCUGGGAAUUUAAGUUUGAAAGAGAAACUGUAUCUGUUGGAGAAUGAGUUCCAGGAGGCUGAUGACCCGCUCCUACUCUGCGGGGGACGGGAGGUCCAGCUCCCACAAUGGAGAUGAUGUCAUAGCGAGUAGCAGAGCCAGCAGCCGCAGCUACCUCUCUGAUGUCAGGCCUGAAAACAGGUACACAACCCCUCAGCUCAACACAGGAAAUAUUACUGUACCUCAACAAGCAACAAGAAAGUUAGAAUAUGUUUAUUACCAGAUCCCUCUCCUUUUGAAGUGAAGUUUAACCAUUGAUUCGGCAUCAUUGCAUUAUGAGGUCGUAAUAAUAAAACAAUAAUCAUUGAAUUUAUAAUGCCUUUUUAAAUUAAAAUGAUUGGAUGGCUUGAUUGAAAUGAUUUCUCAGUGUGUUAGUUAGUUAUAGAUAGUUGUGUUAGUUAUAUUUACAUAACAUUUACAUUUGAGUCAUUUAGCAGACACACUCAUCCAGAGCCAGUUAUCAUGCAUUCAUCUUAAGGUAACUGGAUGAGUCAACCACAUAGUGGUUAGUUAGUUGGAGAUAGUAGUAUUAGUUAUAUUUACAUAACAUUUACAUUUGAGUCAUUUAGCAGACACACUCAUCCAGAGCCAGUUAUCAUGCAUUCAUCUUAAGGCAACUGGAUGAGUCAACCACAUAUCAAAGGCAUUGUUGGUUUCCAUGGUGUCGUUUACUGCAUUUAGGACUGUUUGAAUGGCCAGCUGAUAGGCAACACUCACUACCGGCUCAUAAAAAGCUAUGACCAUGAAGGUCAGCUCUCAGCUCUUUAUAAAUAAACUGCAUCUCACUGCAUGAGCCUGUGUAAAGGCAAACCGUCUUCCAAAAUGCAUCCUACAAAUAGAGGAAAAGUUCAUGAAAAUCCAAUCUUCCUACUACUGGGUAUGUCUACUUAUGGCCAAGUGUGUGCUGCAAAACUAUCAAGUCAAGUGAAAACAUGUAUUCUUCAUUAUAAUUAAAUAAAAUAUUAAUGGUACAGAUAGUAUCGUCAUGUAAUACUUUCUGACGUCACUUAGUGUUUUUCCAUUGUCAGUGGUUUGAUUUUGUUUCACUGUAGACACUAGGCAAUAGUCAGUCAAAAUACAAUCUCAAAUAAACCAUGGCCUUAGCAGCACCCUAUCUUAAUGAUCUG